This 1495-nucleotide long non-coding RNA is filed under the name Salmo trutta (river trout). RNAcentral's name for it is "lncRNA (ENSSTUG00000006434.1)". Lineage: Eukaryota; Metazoa; Chordata; Actinopteri; Salmoniformes; Salmonidae. The record is from RNAcentral.
UAUUUUCAAAAGACUAACAUUUCAUUUUAUAAACAUUGUACACCAAUAAAAGUGCUAAAUAUUUAUUUAAGUGUACUAUUGUACUAUUAUACCCAAGGCAUACUUGUCCAGAGCAGCAAGCCUGUAGAGCACCACGGUGUGGUCCUGGUGUAUAAGGAACUGGCUCUGAACAACUCCUACUCCUUUCACUUCUACCUGGCCACCAACAACUCCUCCGACAUUAAGGACAUAGGGAAGGAGGUGCGUUGCGCCAACAAGCGUUACCUGAAGGUAGAGAAGCCACCCACCUGUAAGCCGGAUGAGAGUAGGUACCGCCUCAUGAGUGAACCAGAGGGAGACAUCAGCCCUUUUUCUAUUAAGCUAUUUAUUUAUUUUUUAUUUUUUUAUUUUUUUAUAUAGCCCUUCGUACAUCAGCUGAAAUCUCAAAGUGCUGUACAGAAACCCAGCCUAAAACCCCAAACAGCAAGCAAUGCAUGUGAAAGAAGCACGGUGGCUGGGAAAAACUCCCUAGGAAAAACUCCUGAGAAAGGCCAAAAACCUAGGAAGAAACCUAGAGAGGAACCAGGCUAUGAGGGGUGGCCAGUCGUCUUCUGGCUGUGCCGGGUGGAUAUUAUAACAGAACAUGGUCAAGAUGUUAAAAUGUUCGUAAAUGACCAGCAUGGUCAAAUAAUAAUAAUCAUAGUAAUUGUCGAGGGUGCAACAAGCACGUCCGGUGAACAGGUCAGGGUUCCGUAGCCGCAGGCAGAACAGUUGAAACUGGAGCAGCAGCAUGGCCAGGUGGACUGGGGACAGCAAGGAGUCAUCAUGCCAGGUAGUCCUGAGGCAUGGUCCUAGGGCUCAGGUCCUCCGAGAGAAAGAAAGAAAGAGAGAAAGAGAGAAUUAGAGAGAGCAUAUUUACAUUCACACAGGACACCGGAUAAGACAAGAGAAUACUCCAGAUGUAACAGACUGACCCUAGCCCCCCGACACAUAAACUACUGCAGCAUAAAUACUGGAGGCUGAGACAGGAGGGAUCAGAAGACACUGUGGCCCCAUCCGAUGAUACCCCCGGACAGGGCCAAACAGGCAGGAUAUAACCCCACCCACUUUGCCAAAGCACAGCCCCCACACCACUAGAGGGAUAUCUACAACCACCAACUUACCGUCCGAAGACAAGGCCGAGUAUAGCCCACAAAGAUCUCCGCCACGGCAUAACCCAAGGGGGGGGCGCCAACCCAGACAGGAAGACCACGUCAGUGGCUCAACCUACUCAAGUGACGCACCCCUCCCAUGGACGGCAUGGAAGAACACCAGUAAGUCAGUGACUCAGCCCCUGUAAAAGGGUUAGAGGCAGAGAAUCCCAGUGGGAAGAGGGGAACCGACAAGGCAGAGACAGCAAGGGCGGUUCGUUGCUCCAGCCUUUCCGUUCACCUUCACACUCCUGGGCCAGACUAUACUUAAUCAUAGGACCAUCUUUGCUUUUUGCUUUUAUUGAGUACUACCAUAGAAAUAGAAU